CCUACGGGGUGCAGCAGUGAGGAAUAUUGGUCAAUGGACGAGAGUCUGAACCAGCCAAGUAGCGUGAAGGAUGACUGCCCUAUGGGUUGUAAACUUCUUUUAUAUGGGAAUAAAAUGUCCCACGUGUGGGAUUUUGUAUGUACCAUCUGAAUAAGGAUCGGCUAACUCCGUGCUAGCAGCCGCGGUAAUACGGAGGAUCCGAGCGUUAUCCGGAUUUAUUGGGUUUAAAGGGAGCGUAGGUGGAUUGUUAAGUCAGUUGUGAAAGGUUGCGGCUCAACCGUAAAAUUGCAGUUGAAACUGGCAGUCUUGAGUACAGUAGAGGUGAGCGGAAUUCGUGGUGUAGCGGUGAAAUGCUUAGAUAUCACGAAGAACUCCGAUUGCGAAGGCAGCUCACUGGACUGCAACUGACACUGAGGCUCGAAAGUGUGGGUAUCAAACAGGAUUAGAUACCCCUGUAGUC
RNAcentral lists this ribosomal RNA (460 nucleotides) under uncultured bacterium. Its description in RNAcentral is "partial 16S ribosomal RNA". It matches the Rfam family "Bacterial small subunit ribosomal RNA", at positions 338 to 795 of the family's 1533-position model. The record is from RNAcentral.